Non-coding RNA from Oryctolagus cuniculus (rabbit), 16034 nucleotides. Lineage: Eukaryota; Metazoa; Chordata; Mammalia; Lagomorpha; Leporidae. The record is from RefSeq and is a predicted model, not a curated record.
GGAGCCAGGUGCUUCUUCCUGGUCUCCCAUGUGGGUGCAGAGGCCCAAGCACUUAGGCCACUGCCUUCCCAGGGCACAGCAGAGAGCUGGACUGGAAGAGGAGCAGCCAGGACUAGAACCAGCGCCCAUAUGGGAUGCAGGCGCAAGACAACCAAUUUCAUGUAUUUCAUAGACAUAAUUCUAAGAAGAUAACCAUAGCCCUCUCUCUCCCUCCUGCAAUCCACUCUCCUUCCUUCCUUCCUUCAUUUCUUUUCCUUUAUUUUUUACACUAACAUAAUUUCAAUUUACUUUAUAAUCACAGUUUUAUUAAAGCUCCACUAACCAUGAUGUUCAACAAGUAAAAAACAGAAUGACCACUGUUCCACAGGAGUAUAGACAAGGGCUAAAACAAUAGUCAAAUCAUAAGAUGUCAGUUUCAUUCUAUAUAAACCACCAUGUAUCAGAGAAGACUUACAAGACUUGACUUUUUGAGACUGGCUCAUUUGACUGAGCAUAAUAGUCUUUAAAAUAGAUUUAGGUUAAUAGACAUAUUUUUAAGAGGUGAAAAAAUGAUUGACUUAAACAUCAGCAUUAUGUGUUUCUCUUAUCCCUUGUUCAUGUCUUGGCAUCUGAGCUCUUAUUCAGUUUAAUACAAUGGUGUAUUCAAAUAUAGACAUAACUAGUUUGUUUGGCUUAUAGGUGUUUCCUAAUAAGCUGUUAACUUACUCAAACAGGGGCUGGUUUCUGUACCAGCUGCUCUACUUCCAAUCCAGCUGCCUGCUAAUGCCCCUGGGAAAGCAGCAGAAGAUAGUCCAAGAGCUUGGGCCCCUACAGCCACAUGGGAGACCUGGGUGGAGGUCUAGACUCCUGGCUUUGUCCUGGCCUUGGCUUUUACAGCCAUUUGGCAGAAUGACAUGGGGGCAGAUGAUGGGGAGAAGAGAGAGAGAUCAUCACUAACCGGUUCACUUCCGAAAUGGCUACAACACCCUCGACUGGGACAGGCCAAAGCCAAGUGCCAGGAACUCCAAGUCUCCUGCAUGGUGGCAGAGUUCCAGAUAGCACUAGUUUUCCAGAAAUUAGGAAGGACCAAGAAAACUGAAAGGCACCGAAGAAGUAAUGUGACAGCCACUGAAACUGAGAUGUUCCAGAUGGAUGGCAGAGGUGCUCAAAGACAAAACCUAUCAAAGAGAAACAUUCCUGCUGGCCCCUUGCUGCAGCUCCCAUAAGGUGCGUUAAAAUAGGCAGAAGGCAAGCUCCAUAUUAUUAAUAACCUUAAAAACAGAUUUAAAUUGAUCUCCUUUAGGUUAUCUGGCUUCUUUUAUAUUCUGUUCUCUCCCUUGUGUUUAGUUUCACUGGGUUUUAAUCAGAUAACUUUAAAAUGUGCUGAACCCAGGUUAGAAUGCAGCAUGAAAGCAACAGAAGAGAGAAAGAGUUUUCUGAGUAGGGAAAGUCAAAUAACUCAACACAAUUAAGAUGAUGAGGGCUCCUGAAGGGCAGAGGGAAGAGGGGGAGCUCAGGCACUUGACACACAAAAAGCUGAGUCGCCAGAAGAGUUAGUUAAAGGGAAGGUGCUGGGGAUAAAAGGUUGGCAACAACUCCCUUGGGAAUUGCACUCUGAGAUUUCAAGGUUCAAUACAAGCUUCUUUCAUUAGUGUAAGUGUUUCUGCACAAACAGCUUGUCACUGCAGUUCGGUUUAAUCUCAGCCAUUGGAGGGGCAAAGACCUGUUAGGUCAAAGUGCUUGUUACUCCAGUGCAAGAGGGAAACAAUGUCUUUUACAUAUAACAUUGCAUCUAUUAAUAUAGAAGGGAAAACUGCAAAAAACUUUUUCUUCUGUGAAAAGAUUAGGGAAUAUAAAUUUUUUUUUUUCAAAACUUGAGAUAUUUGAGCACAGAGUCUGAGGCUGAGCAUGUUGAGAGUUUUAGGACAAGAGAGUUAGCCUGGGAAAUGACAUUAUAGUAUUAGGAACCGCAGAGAAGAGACUGUUACUUACUUGGUAAUUUUGAUAAUGUUCCUUAAUCCGCCCUUGUUUGGGUUGUAAUUAAACAUAGCAGUAGGCUGCUAUCUCAGAUCAUUGCUAUGGAUCAUAAUGAACAAAAGCAGAGCAUUAAACCAUAAACUACAUCUUAAACUACCCUCUAAGUUCAUGCUGUUCAAAGAGAUCCAGAUGGUGUAAUUUAUUUUCCUUCCUAUGCAGUGGGAGGUAAUUGAUGUAACUGAUAAGAAAACAUGAUUGAUUGAUAGUUAUAUUCAGAUAUGGUGAGCCAAGAUGCUCUGAUCUUAUGCUAGCUCCUGUUUGUUGCUUUAGUCAGAGGAAAAAGAAAAAAAAAGCAAGAGUGUUAAAUCAUUAACAACAAACUACACAGCUUCCAAGCUGCAUAAAUAUUACACAAGAGUGCAGAUAUGAGUUAUCUGAAAAUUGUUUCUAUGCUUUGGACUGUAAAAUAAUGUGGCAUUCAUAAAUAAUUUUAUCCUUAGCAUUAUUCUGUCUUUUAAAAUUUAAGUUGUAAAAUAUCUUUUCUACUCUAAUUUCAGAUCGUAUUUAUUUCACUUAACUAUUCAUUUAUUUGACAGUGAUAAUAUGCCUGUAAAAUACGGCUUUUUGAUCACGUAUAGUUGACGGACAGCUUUUUGUUUCUUUUCCCCGUUUCUCAAGGCUAGCACUCUGUCUAGUGAUAUGCUCCUGCUGGCAAUGUCAGUCAUCAGGCACUCCAGCAAAUGAUGGGAGAUCAAAGGAAGCAGGAGAUGGCUUAAGUGAUCAAUCAAUUUAAUGUGUAUGCUAUUGAGGCAUGGAAACUUUCCAACUACUGUGGCAUCCCUGGCCAGAGUAGAAUAUAUGAGUACAUAUUGCAUGUGUACAAGUUUAGCUGGGAAAUAUGAGUUGAUGAUUUAUAUACUAUUUUUUCUUUUCAUUGUAGCUUAAUUAAAUAAAGAGGUUUCUGAAGGUUAUGCCUUGAAAGAUUUAUUUAUGGCCUUCAUAAUCUCUUCAUAUGUUCCAUUGAUGAGAAUAAGAAAAUCCAGUUUUUAUUUGUUAUGCCAGUAAAGGUUACAUGUUGAUAAUAGUGUGUUUUAUUACUUAAUUAUUUAUUUGUGAGGAAAGAGAGACAGAAUGAUAACACAGAAAGAGACUGAGCUCUCAUCUGCAAGUUUAUUCCCCAAAUAUGCAUAAUGGCCAAGCCUGGGUUUGGCUGAAGCCAGGAGCCAGGAACUCAAUCUAGGUCUCCGUAUGGGCAGCAGGACAGCCAUUGUAGCAAUCACCUCUGCCUUCCAGAGUCUGCCUUAGCAGGAAGUUGGCUUCAGGAGCUGGUAUUGGGCGUGAAGCCCAGCAUUUGGAUGUGAGACACGAGCACCUUAAGUACUAGGCUAAAUGCCCUUCCCAUUGUGUGUGUGUGUGUGUGUGUGUGUGUGUUUAAGGUAAUUUCAUGUAAACCUCAAAAGCGUCAAAAUGAACUUUUAUUAAAAAUUGAAUUGAAAGCUAAGAAGCAAAAUCACAAAGACUUACAAGAACAAGCUGCUCAGUAGCCUCUGUAUUUCUUACCUAUAAGAGGAAAGAGAACAGAGGUGUUUUUGGCUUGAAAUAAUAGCAAUUGCUAAGAUCAGUGAGGCAAAGCUUUAGAAAUACAAAUGAAAUAAAUAUUUUUGAGCCAAGUCUUGAGAAUAAUUGUGGGUUUAAGUGAUCAAGGUUUGUAAACAACAGUUCUAGUUUCAUAUCAAAGAACAGGUGUAAGCUGCGCUGAGCCUGGGAUGGACUGUUAGUAAUUCAUUAGCCUUUUCAUCUUCACAGGAAUAAAAAUCAGGCUGUAUUAGGAUGCUUUCAGUGUGCAAAAAAAGCAUGGGCAUUUAAACUUACUUGCAAUAAUUGCAUAAUUUAAAUGGCUUUUGUUUAUUUUGUGAUUUGGUUCAAACCCCACUCCUACCCUUCUAAGAUCUCCAUCCCAAAAGAUUUUUACAUGUCUGUAGUAUUUUUGCAAGGUUCUUUGUGUGAAGUGUUUUGCAGACUCCCCAGGUUGACCUGUCUUUGCUUGCUUUCUCCCCUUAUGAACUGACAUGUAUAAGAACUCUCACAAAAGAAGUUUAAGUGAGGCCAGCGCCACAGCUCACUAGGCUAAUCCUCUGCCGGCACCCAGGGUUCUAACCCCAGUCGGGGUGCCGGAUUCUGUCUUGGCUGCUCCUCUUCCAGUCCAGCUCUCUUCUGUGGCCCGGGAAGGCAGUGAAGGAUGGCCCAAGUGCUUGGGCCCUGCACCUGCAUGGUAGACCAGGAGAAGCACCUGGUUCCUGGCUUCAGAUCGGCGCAGUGCGCCGGCCAUAGCAGCCACUGGGGGGUGAACCAACGGCAAAGGAAGACCUUUCACUUUCCUCUCUCUCUCUUUCUCUCUCUCUCUCUCUCUCUCUCUCUCCCUCCCUCACUGUCUAACACUGCCUGUCAAAUAAAUAAAUAAAUAAGAAGUCUAAGUGAAAAAGCAGUGCAGUGGGGCCUGAGAUGCCGACAUCCCAGAUGAGUGACAAUCUGGGUUUGUGCUGCUCCAUUUCUGACCCAGCGUUUCUGCUAAUGCUACCAGAAUUUAGAGCUGGUUUAUUGUCUCACAGGGAUGAAGAAUUAUGAUGGGGAUAAUAAGAUGUGUGGGGGCUGGUAGUGAACCAAGCAAUAGUUUUAUUGAGAGGUAGACUUUAUAGAGAAUUGACAAUCAAGACUCCUGUUACCAAGGACAGGUCUGUGAAGAUCUGGGUAUUGGAAACUUUUAUAGAGAGUUCAUGUUAAUUAACUCUUCUACAUAUAGUUUCAAUAUGUCAGGGGCCUACUUUGUUUUUUUUUCUGUGUCUCUUAGGUCACGGAUGUGACCAAAGUUACCAAGUCAACCACGUGGAGGAUGUGAUAGUUGAGAAAUAUUGUUUACCAGACCACUUAAAGCAGGUUAUGCCUACAUGAGCAGUUGCUAAGUGCUUGAGACUUGCUACUGUGUGGUGUGUUCUGGUAUGAUGCCAGAGCUUACUUUCUCAUAUGGUUACCUCUGGAUAUGAAACCCACCGUGUUCCCUAUAAAUCUUUUAUUUUCUUGGGGAAAUGCUUUUUGUCUCAUCAGUAGAUGGCAGGUUUCAUAUAAUCACCUGGUUCCUUAUUCCCAGAGGGGCUUUCCUAACUGCCUAUAAAUUCUUUUUUUUUUUUUUUUUUAAGAUCUAUUUAUAUGGGGGCUGGCGCUGUGGCACAGUAGGUUAAUCCUCUGCAUGCAGCACCAACAUCCCAUAUGGGUGCCGGUUCUAGUCCUGGCUGCUUCUCUUCCAAUCCAGUGCUCUGCUGUGGCCUGAAAAAGCAGUGGAAGAUGGCCCAAGUCCUUGGGCCCCUGCACCCACAUGGGAGCUCCAGCCUUUGCGGCCAUUUAGAGAGUGAACCAAAGGAGGGAAGACCUUUCUCUCUGUCUCACUGUCUGUAACUCUACCUUGCAAAUAAAUUAAGAAAAUCUUUAAAAAAAGAUUUAUAUAAAUGAAAGUCAAAGUUACAGACAGAAGGGGAGAUAGAGAGAGAGUGAGAAAGAGAGAGAGAGAGAAAUCUUCCAUCCACUGGCUCUUCAUCCCCCAAAUGUACAAAUGUACUCAAAGGCCAGGGCUGAGACAUACUGAAGGCAGAAGCCAGGAGCUUCAAGUGGAUCUCCCACGUGGGCAGUCAACAGCUUUGCUCAUUGCCCGACAGUGCUCCCACUAAUGUGCUGAGGUACCUGGAUGGAGUUCUAGUUGCCUCAUUCUGUUGCAGUGACUUUGGGAGAGAACCAGCAGAUGGAAGAUCACUCUCCCUCUUACUCUAACUCUGACUUUCAAAUAAAUAAUUUUUAAAAUCUUAGUAAAUAGAAAUCUGUGUUUAAAAUCUGAGCCUGGAAUCUUCUGGGUGUUGCUGAAAGACCAUCUGUCUGACACAACUGAGUGAGCUUGAGGAUAAGUUUGUUUUCUUCUAGGUACCAUGCCAGUAUUUAUCCUGGGAACAAGCCUGCCAGAGUUACCAGAUUUAUCCCAAAUGUGGCAUGGUUUAGUCUUGUGUUAUCUGAAAUCAAAUUGUUUGCAAUUCCUUUAUUUUAUUUGGUAAAUGUAGGGCAACUAAGGAAGCAUUUCAUUUUCCUUCUAUUUAAGGUCCUUAUCUCAGAAAACUCCUCAGUACUUUCUCAACUAUCUGAAAUACAUAUAAGUUAUUUUGAGAAUAGGUAUGUUUUUGUUGGCUGAUCUUUUGUCAUUAUGAUGGCCUAGGAAUAUCUUUUUUUCUAGAAGACAGGAGCUAGUUCUCUGAAAUGCAAACACGGAGGGAAAAAAAAGCCACUAUCUCCUACAUUAUAUGGUAGGGUAGGAGAUGUCUAACUCCAGUGGGAAGUUAAACAUCUGAUAUAAACAUAAGAAAAUUUUAUCUGGGCAAACUCAGUUACUAAUAUAGAAGAUUAUCUGAAUUACUAGUUGCAUCUAUAAAGAACUUGUGUAAAAAAUAGUAUCAACAAGUCUUCGUGUUUUAAAUCUAUGCAAAUUGUUUUGUGGUUAUAUAAAAAGGGAGAUUUCUUUCUGUUUUUUUUUCAUUCUCUUAGCAGAUACUCUAUAAUGUACAUCAUAUUCUGAUAUCAUGCUUAUUCAACAAUAAAACAUUUUCUUUACUAUUUUCUUGGAGAGAUUUCCCGAGUUAAAAGAAGAUUCUGGUUUUAAUUAUAUUUCUGUAAACAACCCUGUCUGAAACAUCAAAUUCAGAUUUCAAUUUUGAUUUUAGACUUAGCAGGUAGUGCAUGUGUAGUUGACAUUUGCCCUAAUUGGAUAUUUAUCAUAAUACAAUGCCACUAAUUUUUUUCUGCCUUUCAUUUAUCAUGUUAUUCAUCAUUUUGAAUGAAGAACAGAAUCUAUGAAUACUAAGUUGCAAAAUGUUGAGCUAAUAACGACAGAAAAAGAAGCUUCAUGCCUCUGUUUACAAAUUUCUACCAAGUUCUCUUAACCCAAAAGAUAAUUAAUUUGACCUAAAGACUGUUCUGGGCCAAAGCUGGCCUUCUUUGUAUAUAAUGCUAUCUUCAAAGAAGGCAAUAGAAUCCAAUCUGUUCCACAUUCUUUGACCUGCCAAUAUAUUAAUAGCCCAGAAAAUUCUACCUAAAUUUCAUUUUUCCUUCUUUCUAGGAUAAUUUAUAUCUAUCUCAAGAAAAACAAAUAUUAAAAAUUAUGUAAAUAAUUGGCUAAAUUUUAAUUUUUAAUUGUGAAAUUAGACUGAAAACAGUACAUGAUUAUUGUGUGUGUGUGUGUAUGUAUACCACCCAUACUAGACGUAAAUAUAUAUAAGAAGAAUGUAUCCUGCUCUUUGAUCCUGUUUUCACUGCUCUUUAUCCUCAUGAAAACUUACUACUCUGUGAUAAUACGUAUUCACAUUUUGGUACAUAUAUACAUGUAUGUAUACACAUACCUAUGUAGCUCUGUCUGUAUGGAUUACUAAGCUUAUACAAAUUAGUUAUACCCAUAUUUGAACUUUGUGUAAAUGCUCUUAUGUUUGCAUUUGUGUAUACUUGCAAAAAUCAAAGGAAAAACUUUGUCAGAAAUUAUUCUGGAGUCAAGAUUGCCAGAUUCUGACCUAAAUAUGGUCAGAAGCAUAGUAAAUUUCAAUAUAUUUUUCCCAGAAAUUUAUUUUUCUUGUUCAAUAUUAUUAUUUGAGAUUACUUUAUACUCAAAUACAUAAUUAUAGUUUUUUAUUUUUCCUGCUGUACAGAGACCCAUUUAAAGAAGUCACAUAUUUUUAUAUGCUCCACUGGUGAUAGUUGGGUUGUUAGUCUAAGUUAUCAAUUAAUUUAUUCAUGUUCUGAAUAUUUCAAUAUUUUAUAAAAUCUGAAAAGUGGAAAAAUAACAUAAUGUAUAUGAAUAAUAUUACUAAAUGUUAUAAUUCAUCAAUUCCCCUAGUUUUGAACCAUGAAUUAAGCUCAAUUUCUAAUAAAUUACAAAAAGUUUCUUUCAUGAUACCUAACUGUUUGUAAACUUUCUCGGAAAGUGUCAAGUGUCAAAAAUACUCAGGACACUUACAAAGUAAGAAAGUAAAGCAGGGCAACUGUUGUGGUACAGCCAGUUAGGCUACCACUUAGGACACCCACAUCCCAUAUUGGAGUGCUGGCUUGAGCACCAAAUCCUUUGCUUCCUAUUCAGCUCUCUGCUAACAAGUCUUGGAAGCAGCAGAUGAUGACCCAAGUCCUCGGAGCCUUGACACCCAGGUGGGAAAAUUGAAUGGAGUUCCAUAUUCCUGGUUUCAGCCUGGCUCAACCCUGGCUUUUGGAGUAUUUGAGGAGUGAACCAGUAGAUGGAAGAUGGAUUUAUCUUUCUCUUCUCUCUCUCUUCCAUCUUCUUUCAUUCUUCCUUUCAAACAAAUAAACAAACUUUAAAAUGAAAUAAAAAGAAGCAAGGCAACUCUUCCUACCAGGUAAUACUUUGUCAACUAACCAAAUAGUUUGGUUGCCCCAUGGGCACAAAAUCAACUUAAAGGAAUAUCAGCUGGUAGACACUCAUCUUUUCAGAAGAAAAAGGCUUUAUGCUUGAGAUCAUCCAGUAAAAGUGGCAGGAGGUAUGACUUAAAUCCAAGAUGUAGGGAUAGGGAAAAUUAGGGACUAGACAGCAGUAGCUAGAAUGUGGAACUGCUGGCGAGCCAAAUUACGAUAGGAAUGGUUUGGAAUCAGGUCGUUUUUGAUAAAGUUUCAAAAGAUGAACUACUGCUCCAGAUAUCAUUGUUCAGUGCAGCCCUAGAUUUUGAAAGGACUCUGGUGUUUAAGAACUGCUUGUGCUCUGGUCUUUGGCUCUACAACUUAGAUUUUCCUCUUUGUGCUGAUCCAGAUUGUAUGAAUUGUAGUUUUCAGUUCUGUUUCUUCUGUGCCUGUGUGACUAAAUCCUAGACAUCUCUUGUAAGAAAACGGUAAUUUAAAAAUAAUGGUUUGAUCCACUGAAAAAGCGUAAGACAUGGAGCUUUCUGGGAGGGAAUGAGGAAAUAAAACAGGAAGAAACCAGUAGAGGGAGGAAUCUGGUAUUAAGAUGUCAAAAAUAUUACAAAGUACAACAUUUUCAAUGUGAAUAAAAUCAAAUUAAAAAUUAAUAUAAAAACAAAAAGAAAGCAAUUAAAAAGAAUAGGUAACUUUGUUUAUAUGAAAACAUGCUUAAAUAACAAGUUGCCUUGCAGAAUACUAGGGAAAGGAUGACUAGUCACUAAAUGUGAAGGAGAAAACUAUUUUUAGAAAACAAUGCAUGUAAAUAUUUUUUAAAAUUUCUACAGAAUUUCAGCUUUAUUAUUGCAUAGCAUCUGCCUUUGGAGUUAGAGAUAAUGAAUUGCUCAGGAGAAAUUUAAAGACUCAUCUCCUCUGGAUCCACUUCCUUAAUUUUCAAAGGUAAUGGAUGUGCAAAUAGAGCAAUAUUCAGACCCUUCCAAAUUUCAGACUUAUCUGUUAUCCUCUAUUUUUAAAAAGUAAUACUCUCCCAAUUUUGUGUACAAAAGUAAUUUCAAGAUGGAUUAUGAUUUAAACAUAAUGACAAAUACCUAGUACUGUAGAAGAAAUUUCCUUACAUGUGAUUGACAUGGAGUCUAACAGAAUUUCUUAAAGUAACCAUGCCCUUAAGACUUAGUGCAUGGUGCUAUACUUGAGAAAUUCGUUAUGAUUUUAACUUUUAUUUUACUUGAUGUACAUGACAGCAUUGAUAGAUAAAACCUGAAAAAUAAUUUGAAUAUAUGGCAUAACUGGAAUUUGUAACUAAAUGCAACUUUUGUCAAAGUUGGUGCAACAAUCUGAUUGUAGUGUGAAUGAUACAUAUGAAUUAGUAGGCAAGCAAUAUAUAAUGAAAGCUUUUGUCAGAGUUGUUUGCAGUAGCAAUAAAAAAGAGAAAAUAUAGAGAUAUAUUUUUAGUAAUUGACCUAAAGAAGCAACAUCGUAACAAAUACUCCAAACUUUGAAACCUCAUCUGUAAAUAUUUUUAAACAAGACACUUGCAUUUACUUUUAGAUAGCUAAGUGGAAUUAUCACUGAAGUAGUUGAAUACAAUAAUGUACAUGUCAAAAUUUAUACCCUUAAAUAAAGACAUACAUAAAUGAGCUAUCAAAAUGAAGACCAAAAACUUGAAUUACAUCAUUUCAGAAGCAUCAUCUAUAAUCAAGGAAGAGGUAGCAUUUUUUUUUAAGAAAAUUGAGGGAUUCAAUCAUUAUAAAAAACAGGCAAUUCUGGUUCAAGAAGUAAGACAUUUAGUUUUGAUAGUUUAUAUGCACAGAAAAUGCAAAAAAAAGAUAAAUAAGAAAUAUACCUUCUUCAUAACAAAUCAGACAGUAAACUGGGCAGUGAUAUGUAGGCAUUUUUUAUCUAUUUACUCAUUAUGUCUUUUUUUUUUUUUUUUGACAGGCAGAGUGGACAGUGUGAGAGAGAGACAGAGAGAAAGGUCUUCCUUUGCCAGUGGUUCACCCUCCAAUGGCCGCUGUGGCUGGUGCGCUACGACCGACACACGGCGCUGAUCCGAUGGCAGGAGCCAGGUACUUAUCCUGGUCUCUCAUGGGGUGCAGGGCCCAAGGACUUGGGCCAUCCUCCACUGCCUUCCUGGGCCACAGCAGAGAGCUGGCCUGGAAGAGGGGCAACCGGGAAAGAAUCCGGCGCACCGACCAGAACUAGAACCCGGGGUGCAGGCGCCGCAAGGCAGAGGAUUAGCCUAGUGAGCCGCGGCGCUGGCCGUCAUUAUGUCUUAACAAUGUUGGGUUUAAGUGCCAAUCACAGUUCUCUCUCUUUCUUUUAAAAAUUUAUUUAUUUAUUUGAAAGGUAGAAUUACAGUGAGAGAAGGAGCGAGAGAAAGAGAGCUAGAUCUUCUAUCUGCUGGUUCACUCCCCAAAAGGCCACAAAGGCUAGGGCUGGGCCAGUCCAAAGCCAGGAGUCAUGAGCUUCUUCCAGGACUCCUAUGUGGGUGCAGGGACCCAAGUACUUGGGCCAUUCUCUGCUGCUUUCCCUGGCACCUUGGCAGAGAGCUGGAUCAGAGGUGGAGCAGCAGGUUUCAAACUGGAGCCCAUAAGGGAUGCCAGCCCUAUAGGCCACAGCUUUAACCCACUGAACCACGGCACUGGCCCCCAAGCACAUUUUUACUACUGGGAAAAUAGCAAUGAGUAAAAGGGACAAAUGUCUCUGCUUUUUAAGGAUUUAAAUCUGGUGUGUGGAUACUGAUGAUAAAUAGUAAAUAGGUUGUUAUAGUGAUAUGAAAAUAAAGCUAAGGAACCGAAACGGACGCAUCAAGCAAUAGUGUAUAAAUCUCAUUUAAUUUUAUGGAUUAAGCUAACAAGUACUUUUGAAAUAGUCCACCAAGAAGAAGAGAUAGGGUUCAAAGAAUUGGAACAGGAUAUUAUGGGUUGUCAUUUUAAGCAGUGGUUUUUAUUUUAAGUUGUAUCCAGUAAUAUUUUUUUUAGAAUAUACAAAUAUUUUACUUUUUGAAGAAACUAAGAAUGAAUGAUUUUUCAAAAACUGCAAAAAGAACAUUAAGAAAGAUACUGAAAAAUCAGAUAGUCAUGGUAUCAUGGAAUCAGAGGUGGAGGGAUUAUUCCUAAAGCAGGAAAUAACUUUCUGCCUAAUUACUCUGGAAUACAGGUCAUAAGAAAUCAAGUCUCUCUUGUAUUUAUGACUGUGACAGUCUUGUGGUAAUAUAAGGCAUUUUAAACAGAUUAUUAUAAAGCCUUCUCUACUGCAGAAUAAGUCCUAUCUAAACUUACAUUCAUAUUUCCAAGCUUUAUAAUUAAUCUUUCCCCUGGGUUAAGUUCUUUUGGAUCCCCAAAUCUUCUCCUUUAAUAGAUAAAAUUGUUAACUAACUUAUUAAUUCCCCUAUUGCAAGGUUACGGGUGAUGCCGAAAGGUGGAUGUGUACUUUUUAAUUCAGUAAGUCUAAUAUUAUAGCAACUGAAAAUUACAUAAAACCAUUUUAGAAUGAAAAUAAGUAGACUUAUAUGACUGUAAAUAUAAUUUCAAAGUUUUUGAUUGUUGUGUUCAAAACAUGGGAAUAAAAAAGUAGUUCUCAUUUUUUGAGAACUUAUUCAUGAUGGGUGCUGAUUUAAAACAUUUAUGUAAAAGAAAUUCAUUCUACAAUCCUAUGGAUUGAAGGUAACUUACUUUUUUGCACAUCUUAUAGAUAGAGAAACUAAAGUACCACAAGAUUGUUUUACCUGUGGAAGUCAUACACUGUUAAAUGUUGGAGCUGUUUUUUUUUUUUUUUGUUUGUUUGUUUGUUUUUUUGACAGGCAGAGUUAGACAAUGAGAGUGAAAGAGACAGAAAGAAAGGUCUUCCUUCCGUUGGUUCACCCCCCAAUGGCUGCUACGGCCCGUGCGCUGCGCCGAUCUGAAGCCAGGAGCCUGGUUUCCCAUGCAGGUGCAGGGCCCAAGCACUUGGGCCAUCCUCCACUGCAUUCCCAGGCCACAGGAGAGAGCUGGACUGGAAGAGGAGCAACCAAGACAGAAUCCAGUGCCCCAACCGGGACUAGAACCCAGGGUGUUGGCGCCCCAGGCAGAGGAUUAGCCUAGUGAGUCGUGGCGCCAGCCUUGGAGCUGGGUUUUAAGGAAAAGUCAUCAGGUUUCAGAGGCCACAUGAUUAACUGCUACAGGAACUGUAUCUCAAAUGAAGAUUGGACUCUGGACUGCCCUCUACCUAAAGAUGAAUACUGGGCAGCAGUGCUUUCCUAAGUUGCACGUUUGUGUCUCCUAAAAUCCCAGUUCCCACAAAGGAAAUGUAUGUGGAGACAGAGAAUAUCUAUAUUUAUACAAGCCCCUGGAUGCUACUGAUGUAGCAGUUCCUGUCUGAGCCUUUGUGGACCUAUUUCCUCGAGAGAAUUAAGAACCACUGUGGAUAAUUUUACUAUAGUCUAUGCAUACAUGAUAAGUUAAUUCAUGAUAUACAAUGGAAACCUAGGAAACCAUAAUUGGUACAGAAGACAGUAGAGACUGUUGUAAUAGAAUUCCAAUAGUGCUUCUAACGCCUAGAAUUAGAAUGAUAAAAGAAUACUGAAUGACAUAUUAAGAUGGCACAAGAUUUUGUGGUUAUUAUGUUGGGAGUAUUACCAACAUGAACAUCCUGUUAGUAGAUCAUUAAUUAGCUAAAAACCUGCUCUAUUUUCUGCCGGAAAAACAGAGAAUAUUUUAUACUAGAAUUUCUUAAAAAUACAAAUUAAUGAACAAAAUAAUUGAUAACAUUAAUUUAGUAUCUAAUUCAUUGAAUUAUUUGCCUAGAGCUUUUCUGAGCGGGCUAAAUAUAUUUGUCUACAUAAUUCUCCCAAUCUUAAGUAAGAAACAUCAGCUAAAAGAUAAAAAUUGGUGAAGGAUUAUCAGGUUAUCUUUCAGGGCAAGCACUUGACUUGAAAAUUUAUUUAUUGGCAUAUUUUGUAAGUAUAUAGUGGCAAACAUAUCUUGAUUGUUUUAUUCUGGUAGGGACCUAAAGAUUGUGGUGUCUUUUUUAUUGCUGUUAUAACAUUUAUUUAUUUAUUUAUUUGAGAGGCAGAGUUACAGAUAGAGGGAGAGUGAAGAGAGAAAGGUCUUCCAUCCACUGGUUCACUCCCAAAUGGCCAGAGUUGGGCCUAUCCCAAGCCAGGGGCAAGGAGAUUCUUCCAUGUACUCCAUGUGUGUGCAGGGGCCCAAGCACUUGAGCCAUCUUACACUGCUUUCCCAUGCUGUUAGCAGAGAGCUGGAUAGGAAGAGAAUCAGCCAUAACACGAAUCGGCACCCAUAAGGGAUGCAGGUGUUGCAUGCAGAAGCUUAGCUACAGCUCUGGCCUCUUUGGGGUCUUUUUCUAUUGUGCAUUACCUAGUUUUGUAUUCAGCUCACACUCUUAUUCUUCUACUAGAAAUGUAGUUUCUCGACUAUUCUUUGAGGAAGUCACAAUAAUCUACAGUUCUUUCUUUUUUUUUUUUUUUAAUUUGUUUUAAGCACUUGGGUUUUCCUUUGUUGCCUUCCCAGGUGCAUUAACAGGGAGCUGGAUCGGAAGUGGAGCAGCCAGGAUUCAAAUCAGUGCCCAUAUGGGAUGUCAGUGCUGCAGGCGGCAGCUUUACGCACUGCACAACAGCGCUGGCCCAAUCUACAGUUAUUUCAAUAAUUCAUGAAUUAAAGAAAAUCUCUGAGUUAUGUUCAUUUUAUGUUAGUGGGAAUAUCAUGUUUUUUGAUAUUUUUUUGAAACUUACACUUAAUAGAUUUGGAUAGUAUCCCCAAAAGUGCAAAAGUAUGCUUACCUAAAGGACUCAAGGAAAUUGUAUGGUUAAAGAAAAGCAACAAGCAAGAAUUGUGAAAGGUUUGAGAUUUUUAUCAUCCAAUUUAAUAAGUUAGCUGACCACACUUUCAUUAAUACAAGGGGAAGAUAUAAGAUCCCUGUAUCAGAGCAAACAACAGCAUGGUAGGCAGCAAAAAAACUUCCUAACUACAUCAGUUCCCCUUGUAUCCCCACAUCCAUGGAACAGGCAGAGACAGGCCCAGCUAAAUUGUGCAUAUACAGUAGGUGUUUAUCACAGCUGAGGAGCUACAGUUUUAGAUAAUAAUAUUUCUAUGUAACUCCUCGGAAAGCUGUCCUACCUUUGCCCAAAAAGAAGGCAUUAUCCUCACUACAAUGCACAACAAUUGCACCUGUAUCUGAGGCCUAUAUCUUCCCAGUGCAUUGACUACAGAACAACCUGACAUGUAAAACAGCCCUUGACUUUCAGGAAGGACCUUGGGAUUAUCAGGGAGCAUUGUCUCAAAAUAUGCACCUCAUGACUAGUUGGCCCCAGCAAAUAUUCAUUUCCAGCAAUACAACUCGAGCCUUACCUCCCUGUCCACUAUCACAGAAUCCCCACUCUUUUGCUUUCCAGUUUUGUUUUUCUUUCGCAUUCAUAUAUUGUUAGUGUCUUAUUCCUCAUUGAUGGCAACAGUAUUUAGGGUUUUACUUUAUGAUUUGAACUUUUGAUGAUUUCUGUUGGACAAAUGUUUUUUUUUAUUUUUUUUUAUUUUUUGACAGGCAGAGUGGACAGUGAGAGAGAGAGACAGAGAGACAGAGAGAAAGGUCUUCCUUUGCCAUUGGUUCACCCUCCAAUGGCUGCGGCGGCUGGUGCGCUGCAGCCGGCGCACCGCACCGAUCUGAUGGCAGGAGCCAGGUACUUAUCCUGGUCUCCCAUGGGGUGCAGGGCCCAAGCACUUGGGCCAUCCUCCACUGCACUCCCUGGCCACAGCAGAGAGCUGGCCUGGAAGAAGAGGGGCAACCGGGACAGAAUCCAGCGCCCCGACCGGGACUAGAACCGGGCGUGACGGCGCCGCAAGGCGGAGGAUUAGCCUAGUGAGCCAUGGCGCCGGCCAAUGAUUUCUGUAAGACAAAUGGUUUUAAACAUUCUAUUUUGGAUAAGAGAUUACAGAGAAUCUGAUUUGCUACUCUUUUGUUUUGACUAUUUCUGUGCUCCGAUCAAAUACUGAUUUCAUGUGUAUAAGAAAAUGCUUGAAGUCUGGAGUGGGUAGUUAAUUUGUUUCUAUAUUUACUGUUGUACAGAAUGUUGUAGAACUGAAACUACCAAUGUCUAUGUGUCUGUGAAUCUGCAUGUUUGUACCUUUAUGCAAGAUUUCCCCACUUACGCAAGUAUGAAAUGCUUUCCUGCCUCUGGACGGCAUUAAUAAAUUGAAUAGUAGCAUAUCUUAAAUUAAAAAAAACUGUUUUCAUUGAUGUAUAUAGAUAAAGAAAUCCUUAAGUAAAUAAAAUAUUCCUUAAAUUCUCAGAGAAUAAGCUAAACGUUAAUACUUUAAGUACACAGGGUAUUAAGGAAAACAAUCCUUCUUAAAGAAGUUGCUAGAUUAUUUUCAGAAUGUGUGUUCAUAUAGUUAAGGCAAGCCUCUAAAUCUUAGACUAAUAUAAGAAUUGUGUGUGUGUGUGCAUGUGUGUGUGUUUAAAUUAAAAUCUAUGCGAUCUUUUCAUGAGGACAUCAUGGUGGAAGAUAAUAAAUAUGAACAUUUUAUUUCCUUUAAUAAAUCUGUUUUUUAAAGCUAAUUAUGUGAGCUUUCUAAAUGUUUAUAUUGGCUAUCUGAUCAAGUAAACUAGCAUGAAUCAUAAUAUAAUAUUAAGAUUAUGACACAGUU